This 454-nucleotide long non-coding RNA is filed under the name Glycine max (soybean). RNAcentral's name for it is "long non-coding RNA (GMAX_LNC003725)". Lineage: Eukaryota; Viridiplantae; Streptophyta; Magnoliopsida; Fabales; Fabaceae. The record is from RNAcentral.
CGCGUAUUUGGAUUGACUUCGAUUACACAUAUUUAACUAUAAAAUCCACGUCAAAUCUUCAAAAAUGAUGCAAAACUAGCUACUUCAAGAUGCUUGCUUCAAAGCAACACGCUCUCCUCUUCCUCCAAACGCGUAACCAAACAUGCUGUUAAAAAAUUUUCCUGCAUAUCUCCAACAAUCAAACAACAUAGUUAUACCUUGGGGUGGAGUAGUACUUGAUUUUGUUGGUUCCUGAGUAGGUCUUGGUAUGACAAGGCCAGGCCAUGAGCGACACAUACAAUGAUUUCCCUCCUCUAUGCUAUUAUAAACAUUGCUCAAGUGAUUGCCACAUCCACCCCAGGUAUAUUUCCCACACCUCCGACACAACACCUUAAAACACAUGAUUAUGCUUUUGGAACCCUGAAAAUCGAGUUAUUUUUAUAUUUUCUAAUGAGCUAUGCCUCACAUACAAAUU